CUCUUAUCAAGAGCAGGUGGAGGGAUAUGGCCCGAUGAAACCCAGCAACCGACCGUAAUACCAUUGUAAGAUGGGGCGCCCGCAUUAUAUGGGGAGCCGCUGAUUAAGUUCAGCGUAUGGCACGGUGCUAAUUCCGGCGAAACAAUUUUGUUUUGCUAAGAUAAGAG
Molecule: non-coding RNA, 167 nt
Filed under: Fictibacillus phosphorivorans
Lineage: Bacteria; Bacillati; Bacillota; Bacilli; Caryophanales; Fictibacillaceae
Description: SAM-I sequence
Rfam family: SAM riboswitch aptamer (S box leader)
About the family: The SAM riboswitch is found upstream of a number of genes which code for proteins involved in methionine or cysteine biosynthesis in Gram-positive bacteria. The SAM riboswitch acts at the level of transcription termination control.
Source: RNAcentral